ACUGGAGGUCAGAGGAGUGCUCUUCAGAUGAUAAAACUAACCUGUCUCACGUUGGUCUAAACCCAGCUCACGUUCCCUAUUAGUGGGUGAACAAUCCAACGCUUGGUGAAUUCUGCUUCACAAUGAUAGGAAGAGACGACGUCAAAAAGGACCAAAAAGCGACGUCGCUGUGAACGCUUGGCCGCCACGAGCCAGUUAUCCCUGUGGUAACUUUUCUGACUCCUCCUGCUU
Molecule: long non-coding RNA, 231 nt
Organism: Xiphophorus hellerii (green swordtail)
Lineage: Eukaryota; Metazoa; Chordata; Actinopteri; Cyprinodontiformes; Poeciliidae
Exons: 4
Source: RefSeq, a predicted model, not a curated record